GGGGGGGGGCAAGCGUUGUUCGGAAUUACUGGGCGUAAAGGGCGCGCAGGCGGCGGGAAAGUCUCUCGUGAAAUCCCACGGGCUCAACCGUGGAAUUGCGGGAGAUACUACUCGUCUUGAGUUCGGGAGAGGAGUGUGGAAUUCCCAGUGUAGCGGUGAAAUGCGUAGAUAUUGGGAGGAACACCGGUGGCGAAGGCGGCACUCUGGACCGAUACUGACGCUGAGGCGCGAAAGCUAGGGGAGCAAACGGGAUUAGAUACCCCGGUAGUCCUAGCUGUAAACGCUGAGCACUUGGUGUAGCGGGUAUCGACCCCUGCUGUGCCGAAGCUAACGCAUUAAGUGCUCCGCCUGGGGAGUACGGUCGCAAAGGCUG
This 373-nucleotide ribosomal RNA is filed under the name uncultured organism. RNAcentral's name for it is "partial 16S ribosomal RNA". It matches the Rfam family "Bacterial small subunit ribosomal RNA", at positions 526 to 896 of the family's 1533-position model. The record is from RNAcentral.